GACCNGAAAUUGGGGAGCUUUGUGCUGAGAGGUUNCCAUUAGGUAACGACCCAUUGACCUGAUCUGGAUAAUACCAGCGGAGGGAGAAUAAAUGGAUACAAA
This 102-nucleotide non-coding RNA is filed under the name Methanobacteriota archaeon. RNAcentral's name for it is "Euryarchaeota archaeon TPP sequence". It matches the Rfam family "TPP riboswitch aptamer (THI element)". Rfam says of the family: Vitamin B(1) in its active form thiamin pyrophosphate (TPP) is an essential coenzyme that is synthesised by coupling of pyrimidine and thiazole moieties in bacteria. The previously detected thiamin-regulatory element, thi box was extended, resulting in a new, highly conserved RNA secondary structure, the THI element, which is widely distributed in eubacteria and also occurs in some archaea. Analysis of operon structures identified a large number of new candidate thiamin-regulated genes, mostly transporters, in various prokaryotic organisms. The record is from RNAcentral. Lineage: Archaea; Methanobacteriati; Methanobacteriota.